Molecule: ribosomal RNA, 756 nt
Filed under: uncultured bacterium
Lineage: Bacteria
Description: bacterial SSU rRNA
Rfam family: Bacterial small subunit ribosomal RNA
Source: RNAcentral
AGAGUUUGAUCCUGGCUCAGAAUCAACGCUGGCGGCGUGCUUAACACAUGCAAGUCGAACGAGAAAGUGGAGCAAUCCAUGAGUAAAGUGGCGACCGGGUGAGUAACACGUGACUAACCUACCUCCGAGUGGGGAAUAACUCCGGGAAACCGGGGCUAAUACCGCAUAACAUCGCAAGAUCAAAGCAGCAAUGCGCUUGGAGAGGGGGUCGCGGCUGAUUAGCUAGUUGGCGGGGUAACGGCCCACCAAGGCGAAGAUCGGUAUCCGGCCUGAGGGGGCGCACGGACACACUGGAACUGAAACACGGUCCAGACUCCUACGGGAGGCAGCAGUGGGGAAUUUUGCGCAAUGGGGGAAACCCUGACGCAGCAACGCCGCGUGGAGGAUGAAGCCCCUUGGGGCGUAAACUCCUUUCGACCAAGACGAUAAUGACGGUACUGGUGGAAGAAGCACCGGCUAACUCUGUGCCAGCAGCCGCGGUAAUACAGAGGGUGCGAGCGUUGUUCGGAAUUAUUGGGCGUAAAGGGCGCGUAGGCGGUGCCACAAGUCACUUGUGAAAUCCCCGGGCUUAACCCGGGGCCUGCAGGCGAAACUGUGGUGCUGGAGUAUGGGAGAGGUGCGUGGAAUUCCCGGUGUAGCAGUGAAAUGCGUAGAUAUCGGGAGGAACACCUGUGGCGAAAGCGGCGCACUGGACCAUAACUGACGCUGAGGCGCGAAAGCUAGGGGAGCAAACAGGAUUAGAUACCCUAGUAGUCC